This 495-nucleotide ribosomal RNA is filed under the name uncultured bacterium. RNAcentral's name for it is "partial 16S ribosomal RNA". It matches the Rfam family "Bacterial small subunit ribosomal RNA", at positions 30 to 507 of the family's 1533-position model. The record is from RNAcentral.
UGAACGCUGGCGGCGUGCCUAAUACAUGCACGUCGAGCGAACAGACGAGGAGCUUGCUCCUCUGCCGUUAGCGGCGGACGGGUGAGUAACACGUGGAUAACCUACCUAUAAGACUGGGAUAACUUCGGGAAACCGGAGCUAAUACCGGAUAAUAUAUUGAACCGCAUGGUUCAAUAGUGAAAGACGGUUUUGCUGUCACUUAUAGAUGGAUCCGCGCCGCAUUAGCUAGUUGGUAAGGUAACGGCUUACCAAGGCAACGAUGCGUAGCCGACCUGAGAGGGUGAUCGGCCACACUGGAACUGAGACACGGUCCAGACUCCUACGGGAGGCAGCAGUAGGGAAUCUUCCGCAAUGGGCGAAAGCUUGACGGAGCAACGCCGCGUGAGUGAUGAAGGUCUUCGGAUCGUAAAACUCUGUUAUUAGGGAAGAACAAAUGUGUAAGUAACUAUGCACGUCUUGACGGUACCUAAUCAGAAAGCCACGGCUAACUACGUG